UAAUAAUGAUGAUAAUGGGAGAGGGGGGUCGGGUGGGGACGAAACCUCCUACUUUGAGACAAAGAAAAUCUCUUCCAUUAAAACCUGCAUCACGAAUCCUUCUGCUCCAAGCUCUCAACCAUCUCUUUCAAACUGCCAGUUCCUGGGCUGAAAUAUUAUUUAUUCCUUUCCUUUCCAAUAAAACAAUUAUUUGUUCCACCAUUUCCCCCCUCGUUCACUCUCCGGUGUGUCUGGCUUCGUCCUGACAGCUCGGCCACGGACUGUUUACAUGUCUCGCUCACCCUCCAAGACUCUGGUUCAGCUCCAUUGACACUAAAGGCAGGCGAAUUCUCUCGGUGUGAGGAAUCAAUUACUUCCGCUGACACUCUAUUACUGGCCCUCACAUCUUUGGACUCCAGAUGGAGAGUGAAGGUGGUGGUGAGGAUGGCAGGGAAUUUGAAGAGGAUGGUGAGCGGGGCUGUGGGGGGAUUGGGGGAGUAGGAGGUAGGUGACAGGGAGGCAGAGAGAGACGAUGGACUGAGAGGCCUCUGGCUUGUAUUUAAAGACACAGAAAGAGAUCUCUCUCCUUGACUGCCCCGCUGGCAUCCGGAGGUGACUGCAUGGCAGGAAGAGGCAAAGAAAAGGAAUAAAAAGAGAAAAGGAAAAGAAAAGGCUUGUCAAGGAUAUCUAAAGAAAUCAGAGAGGCCCCAAAUACCUAAGCACUGGGACAGCAGAUGACAGCUCCAAGCAGAUUGACACAGAGGAGUCAAGCUAAGCCAAAGGAGAGUUGAACUCAAGGGCAAAACCCUUAAGGCCAAUCUCCAUGUACAGAGGGGAAAUUGACCCUGUUUGAGCUACUGAGCCCGCUGGAAGAAAUUCAGCCGGAGCCGCAGAAGCCGCAACGCAUAUGGGCAAGAUCCCCUAAAACUUGGUCUGGAAAGCUGAUUCCCGAAGGUUCCCCAACCCAGAUGAUUCCCAGAGGGGCGACAAGUCUAUUCCAAAUCCCUCCCCCACCUCCAAACACUAGGGCUACCGGCGCCCGCCACCCAGCCGCUGGACGCCUGCGACCCGGUGGGAAAGACCCCCGGCACAGCCAGCCCGAGUCGAAGGGCGGGGGCAGCCCUUCAAUCAGAGCGCGCCUUGCCUCCAUUAACUUGUGUUGAUAUUAAAAAGAAAUCAAUCAGUGAAAAUGAAGCA
RNAcentral lists this long non-coding RNA (1176 nucleotides) under Homo sapiens (human). RNAcentral's name for it is "HSALNT0046165". Lineage: Eukaryota; Metazoa; Chordata; Mammalia; Primates; Hominidae. The record is from RNAcentral.